UAGGGAAUCUUCCGCAAUGGACGCAAGUCUGACGGAGCAACGCCGCGUGUGUGAAGAAGGUUUUCGGAUCGUAAAGCACUGUUGUUAGAGAAGAACGGCUACUAGAGGAAAUGCUAGUAGAUUGACGGUAUCUAACCAGAAAGCCACGGCUAACUACGUGCCAGCAGCCGCGGUAAUACGUAGGUGGCAAGCGUUGUCCGGAUUUAUUGGGCGUAAAGGGAGCGCAGGUGGUUUCUUAAGUCUGAUGUGAAAGCCCACGGCUCAACCGUGGAGGGUCAUUGGAAACUGGGGAACUUGAGUGCAGAAGAGGAAAGCGGAAUUCCAUGUGUAGCGGUGAAAUGCGUAGAUAUAUGGAGGAACACCAGUGGCGAAAGCGGCUUUCUGGUCUGUAACUGACACUGAGGCUCGAAAGCGUGGGGAGCAAACA
This 427-nucleotide ribosomal RNA is filed under the name uncultured Aerococcaceae bacterium. Its description in RNAcentral is "bacterial SSU rRNA". It matches the Rfam family "Bacterial small subunit ribosomal RNA", at positions 355 to 774 of the family's 1533-position model. Lineage: Bacteria; Bacillati; Bacillota; Bacilli; Lactobacillales; Aerococcaceae. The record is from RNAcentral.